AGAGUUUGAUCCUGGCUCAGGAUGAACGCUAGCUACAGGCUUAACACAUGCAAGUCGAGGGGAAACGACAUCGAAAGCUUGCUUUUGAUGGGCGUCGACCGGCGCACGGGUGAGUAACGCGUAUCCAACCUGCCCACCACUUGGGGAUAACCUUGCGAAAGUAAGACUAAUACCCAAUGACGUCUCUAGAAGACAUCUGAAAGAGAUUAAAGAUUUAUCGGUGAUGGAUGGGGAUGCGUCUGAUUAGCUUGUUGGCGGGGUAACGGCCACCAAGGCGACGAUCAGUAGGGGUUCUGAGAGGAAGGUCCCCCACAUUGGAACUGAGACACGGUCCAAACUCCUACGGUUAGGCA
Molecule: ribosomal RNA, 353 nt
Filed under: uncultured bacterium
Lineage: Bacteria
Description: bacterial SSU rRNA
Rfam family: Bacterial small subunit ribosomal RNA
Source: RNAcentral